Molecule: long non-coding RNA, 540 nt
Filed under: Brassica napus (rape)
Lineage: Eukaryota; Viridiplantae; Streptophyta; Magnoliopsida; Brassicales; Brassicaceae
Description: long non-coding RNA (BNAP_LNC016169)
Source: RNAcentral
UGAGAAGGGAAAGGAGGCCAUUUCCCAAACUUAGGGUGUGGGAUGUAUUUAGGUGGGAAAGGCGGAAGCUUCGGAAGUGGUGGACACGGUUUCUUUGGAAUCACCACUGGUGGCUUGUAGAUUGGUUUGUAUAUGGGCACCGGCGGCUUGUAGAUUGGCACCUUAACUUUAGGCGGACACGGCUUCUUUGGAAUCACCACCGGUGGUUUGUAGAUGGGCACCGGAGGCUUGUAGAUCGGUUUGUAAUGCACCGGAGCUUUUGGCGGACACGGCUUCUUUGGAAUCACCACCGGUGGCUUGUAGAUAUGCACUGGGGGCUUGUAGAUCGGCUUGGGAAGUGGCGGACAUGGUUUCUUUGGGAUCACCACUGGCGGCUUGUAGAUAGGUACUGGCGGCUUGUAGAUGGGCACUGAAGGUUUGUGUGCGAUCUUUGGUGGGCACGGCUUCUUGGGGAUCACCACCGGUGGCUUGUAAAUUGGGAGGAAUGGUGGAAGCUUUAUCUUUGGGGGACAAGGCUUUUUGAUCUUAGGAAAUGGAGGA